GAUGAACGCUGGCGGCGUGCCUAAUACAUGCAAGUCGAGCGAACAGACGAGGAUGUUUCUCCUCGGACGUGAGCGUCUUACGGGUGAGUAACAGGUGGAUAACCUACCUGUGGGACUGGUAUAACUUCGGGAAAGCGGAGCUAAGACCGGGUAAGAUAUUGAACCGCAUGGUUCAAUAGUGAAAGGCGGUUGUGCUGUCACUUAUGGAGGGAUCCGCGCCGCAUUAGAUAGUUGGGACGGUAACGGCUUACACAGGCAACGAUGCGUAGCCCACCUGAGAGGGUGGUCGGACAGCCGGGCAGUGAGACACGCCCCCGACUCCUACGGGAGGCAGCAGUAGGGAAUCCUACGCAAUGCGCGAAAGCUUGACGGAGCAAAGCCGCGUGAGUGAUGAAGGUCCUAGGAUCGUAAAACUAUGUUAUUAGGGAAGAACAAAUGUGUAAGUAACUAUGCACGUAUUGACGGUACCUAAUCAGAAAGCAACGGCUAACUACGUG
This 497-nucleotide ribosomal RNA is filed under the name uncultured bacterium. RNAcentral describes it as "partial 16S ribosomal RNA". It matches the Rfam family "Bacterial small subunit ribosomal RNA", at positions 28 to 507 of the family's 1533-position model. The record is from RNAcentral.